CAGUAGCCGCGGUAAUACGUAGGGUGCAAGCGUUAUCCGGAAUUAUUGGUCGUAAAGAGCUCGUAGGCGGUUUGUCGCGUCUGCUGUGAAAACUGGAGGCUCAACCUCCAGCCUGCAGUGGGUACGGGCAGACUAGAGUGCGGUAGGGGAGAUUGGAAUUCCUGGUGUAGCGGUGGAAUGCGCAGAUAUCAGGAGGAACACCGAUGGCGAAGGCAGAUCUCUGGGCCGUAACUGACGCUGAGGAGCGAAAGCGUGGGGAGCGAACAGGAUUAGAGACCCGAGUAGUCCCUGUCUCUUAUAC
This 301-nucleotide ribosomal RNA is filed under the name uncultured bacterium. Its description in RNAcentral is "partial 16S ribosomal RNA". It matches the Rfam family "Bacterial small subunit ribosomal RNA", at positions 509 to 807 of the family's 1533-position model. The record is from RNAcentral.